AUGGAAGCCCUAGCUCAGCUUCUCUGCCUCCUGUUACUCUGGAUCCCAGAUACCACUGGAGAAGCCACGUUGACACAGUCUCCAGCCUCCCUGUCUUUGUCUCCGGGGGAAAGCGCCACCCUCACCUGCAGGGCCAGUCAAGAGUGUUAGCAACUACCUAGCCUGGUACCAGCAGGAACCUGGGCAGGCUCCCAGGCUCCUCAUGUAUGAUGCAACCACCAGGGCCUCUGGCAUCCCAGCCCGGUUCAGUGGCAGUGGGUCGGGGACAGACUUUACUCUCACCAUCAGCAGCCUGGAGCCUGAAGAUGUUGCUGUUUAUUACUGCCAUCAGUACUAUAGCGGGUAUCCACAGUGA
This is a non-coding RNA of Orcinus orca (killer whale), 355 nucleotides long. The record is from the annotation of a RefSeq genome assembly. NCBI's taxonomy places the organism in Eukaryota, Metazoa, Chordata, Mammalia, Artiodactyla, Delphinidae.